AGUGAACGCUGGCGGCGUGCCUAAUACAUGCAAGUCGAACGGAGUGGCGCACGGGUGAGUAAUAUAUAGCUAAUCUGCCCCUUGCUGGAGGACAACAGUUAGAAAUGACUGCUAAUACUCCAUAGCAAGGGAUGAGACUAUAUCGUAUCAGCUAGUCGGUGGGGUAACGGCCUACCGAGGCUAUGACGCGUAACUGGUCUGAGAGGAUGAUCAUUCACGUUGGAACUGAGACACGGUCCACACUCCUACGGGAGCGCGAAGUGGGGAAUCAUGCGCAAUGGGAGAAACCCUGACGCAGUAACGCUGCGUGGGGGAUUACACUUUUCGGAGCGUAAACUCCUUUUGUUAGGGAAGCGGUACCUACCGAAUAAGCCCCGGCUAUCUCCGUGCCAGCCGCCGCGGUAAUUC
Molecule: ribosomal RNA, 408 nt
Filed under: uncultured bacterium
Lineage: Bacteria
Description: partial 16S ribosomal RNA
Rfam family: Bacterial small subunit ribosomal RNA
Source: RNAcentral